This is a small nuclear RNA of Myodes glareolus (Bank vole), 106 nucleotides long. Lineage: Eukaryota; Metazoa; Chordata; Mammalia; Rodentia; Cricetidae. The record is from RefSeq and is a predicted model, not a curated record.
GUUCUUGCUUUGGCAGUACAUGUACUAAAAGUUGGAAUGAUACAAGAGAUUAGCAUGGCCCCUUUGCAAGAAUAAUACACAAAUUCGCAAAGCAUUCUAUAUUUAA